GCAUAUCAAUAAGCGGAGGAAAAGAAACUAACAAGGAUUCCCUUAGUAACGGCGAGUGAAGAGGGAAAAGCUCAAAUUUUAAAUCUAUCAUGUUUGUACAUGAUCGAAUUGUAAUUUGAAGAAGCGUUUUCUCGUACUUUAUGCAAUCAAUAUAAGUUCUCUUGGAACAGGACAUCAUAGAGGGUGAUAAUCCCGUCUGUUACUGGUUGUGAGGUUCGUUAUGAUACGCUUUCAAAGAGUCGAGUUGUUUGGGAUUGCAGCUCCAAAUGGGUGGUAAACAUCACCUAAGGCUAAAUAUUUGCGAGAGACCGAUAGCGAACAAGUACCGUGAGGGAAAGAUGAAAAGAACUUUGAAAAGAGAGUUAAAAAGUAUGUGAAAUUGUUGAAAGGGAAACGAUUGAAGUCAGUCGUGCAGUCAUCAAUUCAGCGGUUAACAUUUUAUGUUUCCGUGUAAUUUGGUGUCUGUUGGUUAGCAUCAAUUUUGAUUGUUAUAAAAAGGUUAAGGGGAUGUGGCUCCUUCGGGAGUGUUAUAACCCUUAGCGUAAUGUAACGAUUAGGAUUGAGGUUUGCAACGAAUACCUUUUAGGGCAGUUUCACCUGGCCUCUCGUGGAAUUAUAGAUAGUUAAGAGCAUGCUCUUACUGUCUAUGAUUCUACGAAAAGGUUGGAGUGUAAAACUAAUUCGUUAAGGAUGUUGACGUA
RNAcentral lists this ribosomal RNA (701 nucleotides) under uncultured Glomerales. Its description in RNAcentral is "LSU rRNA". It matches the Rfam family "Eukaryotic large subunit ribosomal RNA", at positions 38 to 633 of the family's 3401-position model. Lineage: Eukaryota; Fungi; Glomeromycota; Glomeromycetes; Glomerales; Glomeraceae. The record is from RNAcentral.